AUUGAACGCUGGCGGCAUGCUUUACACAUGCAAGUCGAACGGCAGCGCGGGCUUUGGCCUGGCGGCGAGUGGCGAACGGGUGAGUAAUACAUCGGAACGUGCCCAGUAGUGGGGGAUAGCUCGGCGAAAGCCGGAUUAAUACCGCAUACGACCUGAGGGUGAAAGCGGGGGAUCUUCGGACCUCGCGCUAUUGGAGCGGCCGAUGGCAGAUUAGCUAGUUGGUGGGGUAAAGGCCUACCAGGGCGACGAUCUGUAGCUGGUCUGAGAGGACGACCAGCCACACUGGGACUGAGACACGGCCCAGACUCCUACGGGAGGCAGCAGUGGGGAAUUUUGGACAAUGGGCGAAAGCCUGAUCCAGCAAUGCCGCGUGUGUGAUGAAGGCCUUCGGGUUGUAAAGCACUUUUGGCGGGAACGAAAAGGACUGUGCCAAUACCACGGUUCGAUGACGGUACCCGCAGAAUAAGCACCGGCUAACUACGUG
RNAcentral lists this ribosomal RNA (484 nucleotides) under uncultured bacterium. RNAcentral's name for it is "partial 16S ribosomal RNA". It matches the Rfam family "Bacterial small subunit ribosomal RNA", at positions 29 to 507 of the family's 1533-position model. The record is from RNAcentral.